AAGAGUUAUUAUCUAACUCCCAAAACCAUGUGAACUUACCUAUGUUGCCUCGGCGGGGAACCUACCCGGGGGGCCUACUCUUUAAAGUGGCCUAUCUCGGUACCUACUCGGUGGCUACGCUGUAGUUGUAGGCUUACCCGCCGGCGGACCAUUAAAACUCUUAUUUAUUGUGGGCACUUCUGAAUUAUUAUCAUAAUAAGUUA
This 203-nucleotide unclassified non-coding RNA is filed under the name uncultured Ascomycota. RNAcentral's name for it is "sequence contains ITS1". Lineage: Eukaryota; Fungi; Ascomycota. The record is from RNAcentral.